Molecule: ribosomal RNA, 445 nt
Filed under: uncultured bacterium
Lineage: Bacteria
Description: SSU rRNA
Rfam family: Bacterial small subunit ribosomal RNA
Source: RNAcentral
AGAACGAACGCUGGCGGCAUGCCUAACACAUGCAAGUCGAACGCGUGUAGCGAUACACGAGUGGCGGACGGGUGAGUAACGCGUGGGAACCUGCCCUGGAGUGUGGGAUAACCGAGGGAAACUUCGGCUAAUACCGCAUACGACCUGAGGGUGAAAGAUUUAUCGCUCUAGGAGGGGCCCGCGUCGGAUUAGCUAGUUGGUGGGGUAAAGGCCUACCAAGGCAGUGAUCCGUAGCUGGUCUGAGAGGAUGAUCAGCCACACUGGGACUGAGACACGGCCCAGACUCCUACGGGAGGCAGCAGUGGGGAAUAUUGGACAAUGGGGGCAACCCUGAUCCAGCAAUGCCGCGUGAGUGAUGAAGGCCUUAGGGUUGUAAAGCUCUUUCGCGCGCGACGAUGAUGACGGUAGCGCGAGAAGAGCCCGGCUAACUCGCGCCAGCAGCCGC